GUGGGGAAUAUUGGGCAAUGGGGGCAACCCUGACCCAGCGACGCCGCGUGAGGGAAGACGGCCUUCGGGUUGUAAACCUCUUUUGUACGGGAAGAAGGAAGUGACGGUACUGUACGAAUAAGUCCCGGCUAACUACGUGCCAGCAGCCGCGGUAAUACGUAGGGGACGAGCGUUGUCCGGAAUUACUGGGCGUAAAGGGCGCGCAGGCUGUGCUGCAAGUCAGCUGUGAAAUGUCUGGGCUUAACCCGGGCAUGCGGUUGAGACUGCAGUGCUGGAGUGCUGUAGAGGCAAGUGGAAUUCCCAGUGUAGCGGUGAAAUGCGUAGAUAUUGGGAAGAACACCGGUGGCGAAGGCGACUUGCUGGGCAGCAACUGACGCUGAGGCGCGAAAGCCAGGGGAGCAAACGGGAUUAGAAACCCUAGUAGUCC
This 427-nucleotide ribosomal RNA is filed under the name uncultured bacterium. RNAcentral's name for it is "partial 16S ribosomal RNA". It matches the Rfam family "Bacterial small subunit ribosomal RNA", at positions 354 to 796 of the family's 1533-position model. The record is from RNAcentral.